Molecule: unclassified non-coding RNA, 160 nt
Filed under: uncultured Basidiomycota
Lineage: Eukaryota; Fungi; Basidiomycota
Description: sequence contains ITS1
Source: RNAcentral
CUGUAAGACCAUAGGGUUUUGAGACUGCGUCCACAGCGGCGUGUGCUCGACCCUUACUCUUUCAUCCACACACACCUUUGUGCACUAUGGGACGCAAGUCCCCUUUUUACAUAAAUACCUAGUUAUAUGCAUGUUUUAAUGUACUCUACGGAGUAAUGUA